AUGUGGGACGGCGAGCGCUUUCUUACUCCUGCCUGUUCGUUCUGUUCAGAUUUGGGAGUAGAGAACUGGGUUUGCAGUUGUCGUCGUGGCUGUGGCUGUGGCUCCCAUACGUAUAUACCUCUGUCUCAGGUUGAAGGAGGAGCGGCGAUGGGAGGCAGCGGUUCGUCGUCCAGAAGAAAAUCGUCCAAGCGGAAACGCGACAAGAGGAAAAAAACUCGAAGAAAGGAGUCGAAGAAGCGCCGCCAUGUUCAUGAUUCGGAGUCUUCUUACUCUGACUCUGAAUCAUUGAACUCCGACGACAUAGCUCAUAAAUCAGAUCAUGUAAGAAGAAGUAAACAUAAGAAGCUUCGUCGCGACUCUUCAUCAAUGUCCUCGUCAUCAUCCGAUGCUGAUAAGUCUAUAAGCUCAGAUUCUGAUUCCUUGCCCACGCCUAAACGUAGCCGCAAGCAUAGGAAGAACGGACAUUCACGAGUUGUUUUCAAAAGAAAAAAGAAACGAGAUCAGAAGAGAUCUGCUCGCCCAAGAUCUGAUUCAGAUGCUGGCAGUACAAGAAAAAGGAAACGAGCCAACAGCAAUGCUAAAUCCCAAAGGAAAUCCUCAAAGAAGAGAUCGAGAAAAUACUCGAGCAGUGAUUCAGAAAGCUGCUCUACAUGCCAUAGUAGCAGCUCAGACAGCAAGCACCCCAGGAGUAAAGCAAUUUUCGAUGAGGAUGACCGAUGGGUGAAAGAUACAGAAUCAAACAGGACUUCUCAUAUUCACGAAGAUAGGUUUCCAAGUUAUUAUUCUUCACACAGUUGGGGGAGUGAUCAUAAUAUUGGAGUCAACGAUGGUAUUGGAGCUACCAGGUGGGUGGAUAAUCCCCGGCGCCUGAAAUCUGUUAUUGCUGUUAUUGAUCGAUCCCAUGGUGAUGAUGAAGGAGAGAAUAGAUGGGGAAUGGAUCAACAUAAAGAAGAGAUUUUUUACGACCGAGAAGAUUAUCCUUCUCCCAAGAGCCUGGAUAGUUAUGAAGGUGGAACCAAGAGGGUUUCUGUAGAAAAUAUCGCAGGCGAAGAAGCACAAUCGGAAGGAGCACUUGAAGAUGAUUUUAAUAAGAAAGCGACAGACAUCCCUGGAUCUGCUCCGGCUGCUGGUUCAGGUGGGGAUGAUUUGGAGUUGAUAUUGAGGCAGAAGGCUCUUGAAAAUUUAAGAAAGUUUCGAGGGAAGCUUCCGGUAGGAUCAACGAGCACUGAUAAAAAUAGGAGUAAUGACCAUGACGUUAACUAUCUGUCUGCUGGAAAGGCUGAUUAUGUUCACGAAGAAUCAACCAAACAGGACAGUCCUAGCACUCAAGAAUUGAGUAGUAGAGACGGGUCCUCAUUGCUCAAUGAGGUUAAAAAGGCCCCAGAUGCUGAGGCCGUGGAGGGUGAACUCAGAAUUUCUGAGCCGACUAGGGCAGCGCCCUUAGGACGUGCGAACAAAGACAAAGGCUUCAAUUCUAUUGCUGUUUUGACCAAACAGGAUUUGAAAGGCGAUUGUAACCCCGAGGGAGGAGAUUCCAUUGCCAGCAAUUCUUCGAUGGCACAAUCUUCUACUCUAGCUGGGGUGUCUACAGGGGUUAGCAAGGCGGACCAACAGAAUGAAGACAAGGAUGGUUCUCAGUUUCAACAACGAAUGAUGUCGGUAAUGAGGGGAGGUGAGAUGGUUCAGGUGAGCUAUAAGGUUUACAUCCCAAACAAGACCCCUGCCCUGGCUAGACGAAACCUCAGGCGAUAAUUCUACGAGACAUUCAUUUCUGACUGUAGGACUACGGACCCAGGAUGUCUAUUUGUUGUAUUGUCUGGUUGCAGAACUCGAGAUUAUUCGGCAACGCUCUCGGAUGCUUUCUUCUGCUUUCUUGAAACCACUUACACAGGCCCAAUCAUCCAUCAUCGACACACUCAUUCCCUCGAGGAAUUGGGAAUAACGUUCCAUUACAGUCGGGACCUGUCCAAGAACAAGGAUCUU
This is an RNA transcript of Andrographis paniculata, 1983 nucleotides long. RefSeq lists it as uncharacterized. The record is from RefSeq and is a predicted model, not a curated record. Lineage: Eukaryota; Viridiplantae; Streptophyta; Magnoliopsida; Lamiales; Acanthaceae. The transcript is spliced from 5 exons.